CCUACGGGCGGCAGCAGUAGGGAAUCUUCCACAAUGGGCGAAAGCCUGAUGGAGCAACGCCGCGUGGGUGAAGAAGGUCUUCGGAUCGUAAAACCCUGUUGUUAGAGAAGAAAGUGCGUGAGAGUAACUGUUCACGUUUCGACGGUAUCUAACCAGAAAGCCACGGCUAACUACGUGCCAGCAGCCGCGGUAAUACGUAGGUGGCAAGCGUUAUCCGGAUUUGUUGGGCGUAAAGGGAACGCAGGCGGUCUGUUAAGUCUGAUGUGAAAGCCUUCGGCUUAACCGGAGUAGUGCAUUGGAAACUGGGAGACUUGAGUGCAGAAGAGGAGAGUGGAACUCGAUGUGUAGCGGUGAAAUGCGUAGAUAUAUGGAAGAACACCAGUGGCGAAAGCGGCUCUCUGGUCUGUAACUGACGCUGAGGUUCGAAAGCGUGGGUAGCAAACAGGAUUAGAUACCCGAGUAGUC
Molecule: ribosomal RNA, 465 nt
Filed under: uncultured bacterium
Lineage: Bacteria
Description: partial 16S ribosomal RNA
Rfam family: Bacterial small subunit ribosomal RNA
Source: RNAcentral